CGUAGGCGGCAAGGCAAGUCAGAUGUGAAAUCCCCGGGCUCAACCUGGGAAUUGCAUCUGAAACUGCAGUGCUUGAGUCCUGGAGGGGAUAGUGGAAUUCCCAGUGUAGCGGUGAAAUGCGUAGAUAUUGGGAGGAACACCUGCGGCGAAGGCGGCUAUCUGGACAGUGACUGACGCUGAUGCGCGAAAGCCAGGGGAGCGAACGG
Molecule: ribosomal RNA, 206 nt
Filed under: uncultured bacterium
Lineage: Bacteria
Description: partial 16S ribosomal RNA
Rfam family: Bacterial small subunit ribosomal RNA
Source: RNAcentral